AUGACUCUCCAUAAAUACCCGCUGAAUGGAUUUGGAUUUUAUUAUUUCUUGGCAUUGUUGACACUUCUUAUGACACAAGUUGCGCUGGGAGUCAUGCUGACUAGUGGCUGCGCGACAGCCCGACACUGCCACACGGAGGAGCUGCCGGGAGUCAACAUCCACUGCUGCGACUCUGAUCUGUGCAACAGCGCCACCCGCUGGCGGACAUCCACACUGCUGCCUGUUUGCUCAUUGACGUUUAAUCUGUUGUUUCAAAGGUUGCUCCUGUGGACGAAAUAACUUUGACCUUCACCACAAAAUCACGGCAGCUACGCUUCCGAUUCGAGACAUACAUACAGGAGGGAACUUGAAAAUAUAACUAUAAAAGAUGUAAACAGACCCUGGAGAAUUAUGUGUGGAUAAACCAAACCUUCACGUAUCACAUCUGAUCUUCAGUUUAAAGUUAUCUUUGGAUCAUUUUUAAAUCAUUAAAUCAUCAUCCAAAAAUAAAUAAAUAAAUAAAAUAAAUUCA
Molecule: long non-coding RNA, 511 nt
Organism: Cyprinus carpio (common carp)
Lineage: Eukaryota; Metazoa; Chordata; Actinopteri; Cypriniformes; Cyprinidae
Source: Ensembl